UACACACCGCCCGUCACGCCAUGGAGUUGGUUUCACCCGAAGGUGGUGCGCUAACCCGCAAGGGAGGCAGCCAACCACGGUGGGAUCAGCGACUGGGGUG
Molecule: ribosomal RNA, 100 nt
Filed under: uncultured bacterium
Lineage: Bacteria
Description: partial 16S ribosomal RNA
Rfam family: Bacterial small subunit ribosomal RNA
Source: RNAcentral